Molecule: ribosomal RNA, 407 nt
Filed under: Streptomyces sp. VITPRS21
Lineage: Bacteria; Bacillati; Actinomycetota; Actinomycetes; Kitasatosporales; Streptomycetaceae
Description: bacterial SSU rRNA
Rfam family: Bacterial small subunit ribosomal RNA
Source: RNAcentral
CGAGUUUGAUCGUGGCUCAGGACGAACGCUGGCGGCGUGCUUAACACAUGCAAGUCGAACGGUGAAGCCCUUUCGGGGGUGGAUCAGUGGCGAACGGGUGAGUAACACGUGGGCAAUCUGCCCUGCACUCUGGGACAAGCCCUGGAAACGGGGUCUAAUACCGGAUAUGACACAUGAGGGCAUCUUCGUGUGUGGAAAGCUCCGGCGGUGCAGGAUGAGCCCGCGGCCUAUCAGCUUGUUGGUGGGGUGAUGGCCUACCAAGGCGACGACGGGUAGCCGGCCUGAGAGGGCGACCGGCCACACUGGGACUGAGACACGGCCCAGACUCCUACGGGAGGCAGCAGUGGGGAAUAUUGCACAAUGGGCGCAAGCCUGAUGCAGCGACGCCGCGUGAGGGAUGACGGCCU